AGAGUUUGAUCCUGGCUCAGGAUGAACGCUAGCUACAGGCUUAACACAUGCAAGUCGAGGGGCAGCAUGAACUUAGCUUGCUAAGUUUGAUGGCGACCGGCGCACGGGUGAGUAACACGUAUCCAACCUUCCGUUUACUCAGGGAUAGCCUUUUCGAAAGAAAGAUUAAUACCUGAUAGUAUGGUGAGAUUGCAUGAUAACACCAUUAAAGAUUUAUUGGUAAACGAUGGGGAUGCGUUCCAUUAGGUAGG
Molecule: ribosomal RNA, 251 nt
Filed under: uncultured bacterium
Lineage: Bacteria
Description: partial 16S ribosomal RNA
Rfam family: Bacterial small subunit ribosomal RNA
Source: RNAcentral